RNAcentral lists this ribosomal RNA (382 nucleotides) under Streptococcus agalactiae. RNAcentral describes it as "bacterial SSU rRNA". It matches the Rfam family "Bacterial small subunit ribosomal RNA", at positions 936 to 1319 of the family's 1533-position model. The record is from RNAcentral. Lineage: Bacteria; Bacillati; Bacillota; Bacilli; Lactobacillales; Streptococcaceae.
AGCAUGUGGUUUAAUUCGAAGCAACGCGAAGAACCUUACCAGGUCUUGACAUCCUUCUGACCGGCCUAGAGAUAGGCUUUCUCUUCGGAGCAGAAGUGACAGGUGGUGCAUGGUUGUCGUCAGCUCGUGUCGUGAGAUGUUGGGUUAAGUCCCGCAACGAGCGCAACCCCUAUUGUUAGUUGCCAUCAUUAAGUUGGGCACUCUAGCGAGACUGCCGGUAAUAAACCGGAGGAAGGUGGGGAUGACGUCAAAUCAUCAUGCCCCUUAUGACCUGGGCUACACACGUGCUACAAUGGUUGGUACAACGAGUCGCAAGCCGGUGACGGCAAGCUAAUCUCUUAAAGCCAAUCUCAGUUCGGAUUGUAGGCUGCAACUCGCCUAC